Molecule: ribosomal RNA, 515 nt
Filed under: uncultured bacterium
Lineage: Bacteria
Description: bacterial SSU rRNA
Rfam family: Bacterial small subunit ribosomal RNA
Source: RNAcentral
UGGGGAAUAUUGGACAAUGGGGGCAACCCUGAUCCAGCGAUGCCGCGUGAGUGAAGAAGGCCUUAGGGUUGUAAAACUCUUUCAGGGGUGAAGAUAAUGACGGUAACCCCAGAAGAAGCUCCGGCUAACUCCGUGCCAGCAGCCGCGGUAAUACGGAGGGAGCUAGCGUUGUUCGGAAUUACUGGGCGUAAAGCGCGCGUAGGCGGCUUUGCAAGUAGAGGGUGAAAUCCCGGGGCUUAACCUCGGAACUGCCUCCUAAACUGCAGAGCUAGAAUCCUGGAGAGGUGAGUGGAAUUCCUAGUGUAGAGGUGAAAUUCGUAGAUAUUAGGAAGAACACCAGUGGCGAAGGCGACUCACUGGACAGGUAUUGACGCUAAGGUGCGAAAGCGUGGGGAGCGAACAGGAUUAGAUACCCUGGUAGUCCACGCCGUAAACGAUGGGUGCUAGGUGUUGGGUAGCUUGCUAUUCAGUGCCGAAGCUAACGCGUAAGCACCCCGCCUGGGAGACUACCAUGG